UAAGUUUGAUGGCGACCGGCGCACGGUGAGUAACACGUAUCCAACCUGCCGAUGACUCGGGGAUAGCCUUUCGAAAGAAAGAUUAAUACCCGAUGGCAUAGUUCUUCCGCAUGGUAGAACUAUUAAAGAAUUUCGGUCAUCGAUGGGGAUGCGUUCCAUUAGGUUGUUGGCGGGGUAACGGCCCACCAAGACUACGAUGGAUAGGGGUUCUGAGAGGAAGGUCCCCCACAUUGGAACUGAGACACGGUCCAAACUCCUACGGGAGGCAGCAUG
RNAcentral lists this ribosomal RNA (273 nucleotides) under uncultured bacterium. RNAcentral describes it as "partial 16S ribosomal RNA". It matches the Rfam family "Bacterial small subunit ribosomal RNA", at positions 80 to 353 of the family's 1533-position model. The record is from RNAcentral.